This 497-nucleotide ribosomal RNA is filed under the name uncultured bacterium. RNAcentral's name for it is "partial 16S ribosomal RNA". It matches the Rfam family "Bacterial small subunit ribosomal RNA", at positions 28 to 507 of the family's 1533-position model. The record is from RNAcentral.
GAUGAACGCUGGCGGCGUGCCUAAUACAUGCAAGUCGAGCGAACAGACGAGGAGCUUGCUCCUCGGACGUUAGCGGCGGACGUGUGAGUAACACGUGGAUAACCUACCUAUAAGACUGGGAUAACUUCGGGAAAGCGGAGCUAAUACCGGAGAAUAUAUUGAACCGCAGGGUGCAAUAGUGAAAUACGGGUGUUCGGUCACUUAUAGAGGGAUCCGCGCCGCAUUAGGUAGUUGGUAAGGUAACGGCUUACCAAGGCGACGAUGCGUAGCCGAGCGGAGAGGGUGAUAGGCCACACUGGAAGUGAGACACGGUCCAGACUCCUACGGGAGGCAGCAGUAGGGAAUCUUACGCAAUGGGCGAAAGCCUGGCGGAGCAACGCCGCGUGAGUGAUGAAGGUCUUCGGAUCGUAAAACUCUGUUAUUAGGGAAGAACAAAUGUGUAAGUAAAUAUGCACGUAUUGACGGUACCUAAUCAGAAAGCAACGGCUAACUACGUG